Molecule: transfer RNA, 69 nt
Filed under: Cyclograpsus granulosus
Lineage: Eukaryota; Metazoa; Arthropoda; Malacostraca; Decapoda; Varunidae
Description: tRNA-Glu
Source: RNAcentral
UGUUUUAUGGUGUAAAUAACACAUUGUAUUUUCGUUACAAAACUGAAAUAUUAACCUUUUCUAGAACAU